AGUGAACGCUGGCGGUAGGCCUAACACAUGCAAGUCGAACGGCAGCACAGUAAGAGCUUGCUCUUACGGGUGGCGAGUGGCGGACGGGUGAGGAAUACAUCGGAAUCUACUUUUUCGUGGGGGAUAACGUAGGGAAACUUACGCUAAUACCGCAUACGACCUACGGGUGAAAGCAGGGGAUCUUCGGACCUUGCGCGAUUGAAUGAGCCGAUGUCGGGUUAGCUAGUUGGGGGGGUAAAGGCCCACCAAGGCGACGAUCCGUAGCUGGUCUGAGAGGAUGAUCAGCCACACUGGAACUGAGACACGGUCCAGACUCCUACGGGAGGCAGCAGUGGGGAAUAUUGGACAAUGGGCGCAAGCCUGAUCCAGCCAUACCGCGUGGGUGAAGAAGGCCUUCGGGUUGUAAAGCCCUUUUGUUGGGAAAGAAAAGCAGCAGGUUAAUACCCCGCUGUUCUGACGGUACCCAAAGAAUAAGCACCGGCUAACUUCGUG
Molecule: ribosomal RNA, 492 nt
Filed under: uncultured bacterium
Lineage: Bacteria
Description: partial 16S ribosomal RNA
Rfam family: Bacterial small subunit ribosomal RNA
Source: RNAcentral